This 216-nucleotide ribosomal RNA is filed under the name Salmonella enterica subsp. enterica serovar Infantis. RNAcentral's name for it is "partial 23S ribosomal RNA". It matches the Rfam family "Bacterial large subunit ribosomal RNA", at positions 1125 to 1339 of the family's 2925-position model. Lineage: Bacteria; Pseudomonadati; Pseudomonadota; Gammaproteobacteria; Enterobacterales; Enterobacteriaceae. The record is from RNAcentral.
AAAGAAAGCGUAAUAGCUCACUGGUCGAGUCGGCCUGCGCGGAAGAUGUAACGGGGCUAAACCAUGCACCGAAGCUGCGGCAGCGACACUCAGGUGUUGUUGGGUAGGGGAGCGUUCUGUAAGCCUGUGAAGGUGUGUCGUGAGGCAUGCUGGAGGUAUCAGAAGUGCGAAUGCUGACAUAAGUAACGAUAAAGCGGGUGAAAAGCCCGCUCGCCA